UUUUUAAGCUAAUGGGCACCGACUGCCACAGGACAGUUCUUCCAAUGAAUGGUUUCUCUCUACAAGGGUCAGUACAUGGGACACAGUGACGGUCAUCUGAGGAUACCUUUCAGAGAGGAAGUGCGAAAGCUCUGGGAUAGUUAACUUUAGGGUUCUCAUCAGGUAGCUUCAAAGUGAUCAAUGUAUAGCUACAUGUUCUUUAUACUACUUUUGAUUUUCACAACUCUGUUGGUGCCUGCAGAUACCUAAGGCACACAGGGUUUAAGUGGCUUGCUCAAGACCACAGGGCUAGUAAAUUAUGGCAUUGAUACUCAAACUCUGCAGGUUACAGAAUUCUAUACAUUUUCCUUUCAUUUCCCAACUUUGAAGGGCUUUCAUCUUUUAGAAUCAAGGAGGUAUAAUUACAGGUAGAAAAAACCUUAUGGACAACCCAAGCUAACCCUCCCAUUUCUCAAAUGUGCUCAGCUGAGGUCUAGAGAAGGAAAAAAGAAAAAUCCAUCACUCCAGUGUGCAACAAAGCCAAGAGUUCAGAUCCUGAUCUGGAUGCUGUAUUCAAAUUACGCUACAGGAAGUGUCGUCCUACUCAGUUUUCAAAGGCCAGAUCAUGUGACUGAAGUACUCCCAUUAUGAACAGCCAUGUCCCAUGGGCUCCAGGGCAGGCAUCUACACAUUCUCCAAGGAGGCUAACUUCCAAUGACUGAUCAAGCAACCAGCAGCAGGUGACAGGCUCUGCAUGAGAUCAAGUGUCACAGGAGGCAGUGGAAAUGUGGUUAAAGUUGUGAAGAUUUUAAAAGAAAGAGUUUUUAAGGAAAACAUGGACAACCUUCACUGUACGCAAUAAAGAGACCAUAUCAUUGCCAUCUAUGCAACACCUGCAGAAAUUUAAAGAGGGGCAGCGAGGAGGGGAACUACCACCUUUAUCUUUGUUCUAAGACAAAGUGUUCUCCUGCUUCAGAUCUCCAGAAGCACCUUGAGAAUCCCGUCCUGAGCUCACCUGAUCAAGAAACCAAGAACAGAACACAAAUCCAAGACUUACACCUCCAAGUCCUAUUGCAGCAUUCAAAAGAGUUCUUCACAGAAGGAAGGGAGAGGAGGCAGGCAAGUAUCAGAUUUCCUGUACUGUUUUCAAAAUACAGAUGACCCUGGAACAAUAUGGGUUUGAACUGUGUGGGUGCACUUAAUAUGGGAUUUUAGACCAACCCCUCCCUCUUCCUCUGCCUACUCAACAUAAACAUGACAAGGGGGAAGGAUCCUUAUGAUGAUCCACUUCCACUUAAUGAACAGUAAAUAUAUUUUGUCUACCUUA
This 1306-nucleotide long non-coding RNA is filed under the name Homo sapiens (human). Its description in RNAcentral is "non-protein coding lnc-DMRTA1-3:1". Lineage: Eukaryota; Metazoa; Chordata; Mammalia; Primates; Hominidae. The record is from RNAcentral.